RNAcentral lists this unclassified non-coding RNA (216 nucleotides) under Hevea brasiliensis (rubber tree). The record is from RNAcentral. Lineage: Eukaryota; Viridiplantae; Streptophyta; Magnoliopsida; Malpighiales; Euphorbiaceae.
AAUCAUGAAGUUUCCAAGUUUUGCUAUCCUAGAUAUGAAAUAUUCAAUUCAACGAAUUUAGUCUUAAUCUCAAAAUAGUUAGGGUCUAUGGUAUAAAUCCAUUUCCUCCAUUCCUCUUGUGUAGGUAUGCACUUUUGAAGGACCUAGAGAUGUUAAAUCCUUUCAUACUACCUUAUCUCUUACAACUUCAAUUUUCCAACCUUCCAUACUAGUGCA